Microcebus murinus (gray mouse lemur) is the source of this 521-nucleotide non-coding RNA. The record is from RefSeq and is a predicted model, not a curated record. NCBI's taxonomy places the organism in Eukaryota, Metazoa, Chordata, Mammalia, Primates, Cheirogaleidae.
UUUUUGCAGGGUCCUAUCAGUGGCCCUAACAGAGAUAUUUCUAUUCUCCAGUGCCAUGGAGAUUCCGACCUUAGUUCCCAUGACUUGGUUCUCUUACUGCUGAAAACUAAAAACAUUGGUAAAUCCAGCUAAUGUAACCUUUAAAACCUAUGAAGGCAUGAUGCACAGUUCAUCUCAGCAGGAAAUGAUGGAUGUCAAGCAAUUCAUUGAAAAACUCCUACCUCCAAUUGAUUGACGUCACUAAGAGGCCUUGGUAAGAAGUACACCAGCAUCAUUGUAAUAGAGUAUAAACCUUUUCCCGUGCCCAGUCUCCAAACCUCUGAUGUUUGCAGUGUUAAAAUGUUUUGCAAAUACACGCCAAUGACACAGACUAAAUAAUGUCUCCUCAUGGGAAAUUUAUGAUCUUUUAAAUUUCUAUACAUGUAUUCUUAUGAUCCAGAAUAUUACUAGUAUUAAGGUGAAGCAGCUAGCUUCUUUUUUCUCAAAUGUAAUUCAGCAAAAUAAAAAAUACUACAACCAGA